This 253-nucleotide ribosomal RNA is filed under the name uncultured bacterium. RNAcentral describes it as "partial 16S ribosomal RNA". It matches the Rfam family "Bacterial small subunit ribosomal RNA", at positions 524 to 776 of the family's 1533-position model. The record is from RNAcentral.
GACAGGGGGUGCAAACGUUGUUCGGAAUUACUGGGCGUAAAGCGCGUGUAGGCGGCCCUGCAAGUCGGGUGUGAAAUCCCACGGCUCAACCGUGGAAGUGCACUCGAAACUGCAGGGCUAGAGUCCUGGAGAGGAAGGUGGAAUGCUUGGUGUAGAGGUGAAAUUCGUAGAUAUCAAGCGGAACACCGGUGGCGAAGGCGGCCUUCUGGACAGUGACUGACGCUGAGACGCGAAAGCGUGGGGAGCAAACAGG